AUGGAUUCCGGGAGCACGGAGAUCCUCGUUGAAAACGGCUGCUUCCGACUAUACAAGGACGGCCACAUCGACCGUCUCGGAGGCACGGACCACGUGCCCGCCGGCUUCGACGCCGACACCGGCGUCACCUCCAAAGACGUCGUAAUCGACGCCGUCACCGGCGUCGCCGUUCGCCUCUACCUGCCAGACGUCCAUGCCGCUGAAUCCGACGGCCCCGACAUCAGUACAGCCGCAGUCACGAAGCUCCCGGUCGUCGUCUUCUUCCACGGCGGUUACUUCAUCGUCGGAUCAGCCGGCUGCCCUAAGCACCACCGCUACGUGAACUCGCUGGCCGCCGACGCCCGCGCCAUCGUCGUCUCCGUCGACUACCGCCUCGCGCCCGAGCACCUGCUCCCGGCGGCCUACGACGACUCCUGGGCCGCGCUCAACUGGGCGGUGUCCGGCGCCGACCCGUGGCUGUCCGAGCACGGCGAACUCGGCCGCGUCUUCCUGGCCGGCGCCAGCGCCGGCGGGAACAUAGCCCACAACAUGGCCAUCGCGGCCGGCGCGAGUGGCCUCUUCGCCGCGGCGACACGCCUAGAGGGCGCGGUCUUGCUCCACCCGUCGUUCAGCGGCGAGCAGAGGAUCGAGACGGAGUCAGAGGAGUACAGGGCGAGCGUCAAGAUGAGGUGCUCCGUGAUCUUCCCCGGCGCGAGAGGCGGGCUGGACGACCCGAGGAUGAACCCGACGGCCGACGGCGCGCCGAGCCUGCGGACGCUCCCGUGCGAGAGGAUGCUGGUGUGCGCGGCGUCGGAGGACGCGAGGCUGCCGAGGGUGCGGGCGUACUACGACGCCGUGAAGUCCAGCAGGUGGUCUGGGCAAGUGGAGUGGUUCGAGUCGGAAGGCAAGGGGCACGCCUUCUUCGUCGACGAGCAUGGCUGCCGCGAGGCGGUUGCGCUCAUGGAACGAGUGGCUGGUUUCAUCGCCGGCCAUUGA
Molecule: ribosomal RNA, 975 nt
Filed under: Triticum aestivum (bread wheat)
Lineage: Eukaryota; Viridiplantae; Streptophyta; Magnoliopsida; Poales; Poaceae
Description: partial small subunit ribosomal RNA
Source: RNAcentral